This 473-nucleotide ribosomal RNA is filed under the name uncultured bacterium. Its description in RNAcentral is "SSU rRNA". It matches the Rfam family "Bacterial small subunit ribosomal RNA", at positions 26 to 518 of the family's 1533-position model. The record is from RNAcentral.
AGAGCGAACGCUGGCGGCAGGCCUAACACAUGCAAGUCGAGCGCCCGUAGCAAUACGGGAGCGGCAGACGGGAUAGUAACACGUGGGAACGCGCCCUUCGGUUCGGAAUAACUCAGGGAAACUUGAGCUAAUACCGGAUACGCCCUUACGGGGAAAGAUUUAUUGCCGAAGGAACGGCCCGCGUCCGAUUAGCUAGUUGGUGAGGUAAUGGCUCACCAAGGCGACGAUCGGUAGCUGGUCUGAGAGGAUGACCAGCAUCACUGGGACUGAGACACGGCCCAGACUCCUACGGGAGGCAGCAGUGGGGAAUAUUGGACAAUGGGCGCAAGCCUGAUCCAGCCAUGCCGCGUGCGGGAAGAAGGCCUUCGGGUUGUAAACCGCUUUUGUCAGGGAAGAAAAGCUCCGGGCUAAUACCUUGGAGUCAUGACGGUACCUGAAGAAUAAGCACCGGCUAACUACGCGCCAGCAGCCGC